Molecule: ribosomal RNA, 253 nt
Filed under: uncultured bacterium
Lineage: Bacteria
Description: partial 16S ribosomal RNA
Rfam family: Bacterial small subunit ribosomal RNA
Source: RNAcentral
UACGGAGGGUGCAAACGUUGCUCGGAAUCACUGGGCGUAAAGCGCACGUAGGCGGUCCGAUAAGUCUGAUGUGAAAGCCCUGGGCUCAACCUAGGAAGUGCAUUCGAAACUGUCGGACUUGAGUACGGGAGAGGGUUGCGGAAUUCCCGGUGUAGAGGUGAAAUGCGUAGAUAUCCGGAGGAACACCGGUGGCGAAGGCGGCUUCCUGGACCGACACUGACGCUGAGGCGCGAAAGCUAGGGGAGCAAACGGG